ACUUGCUUUUAAAAUAGGCUCAGGGCCAGAGAGGUGGCUCAGUAGUUCAGAGUGCUGGCUGCGCGUGGAGAAGACCCAGGUUCAGUUCCCAGCACCUACAUGACAGCUUACAACCAUCAGUAACUCUAGUUCCAGGGGAUCUGACAUCAUCUUUUGGCCUCCCUGGGCACCAGGCAUGUGCAUAGUACAUACAUAUAAUGUGCAGGCAGAAUACACAUAUAAAGUAAAAAUAAUUACUUAAAAAAAUUAAAGUUAUAAUCUAGUUUAUAUAGUCACUGUUCUUAGUAUUUAGAGGGUAGAUUUGGUUCUGGUGCGGGGGUUGUGGGUUGUGGGUGGAUGGGGAGGAAUGUUCUUGCUCUUAGAAAUUCAGGCUCAUUUUAUUCCUGGGGAAGUUCCAGAAAGUAUUUUGAUGAUGUGGCGUAGUAGAGAAAGCUUCGUCACAAUUCAUGAUCUUAGUUAACAGUUGGUACGUCAUUUUUAGUCUUUUUCUGCCCUUUCCAUUCCAUCCCAUGGGUCAUUUUUAGGAGAGAAGAAUUCUUCAAAGGGUGGAAUAAUUGAUGGUUAUCCCAAGCAGCAAGAAGAGAAAUGUGGAGGUCUUGGGCCCUUCCCUGAGGACUCAGAGAAAACUGGCCUGGGUCUGAGAUGGGCUCUAGUCAUUAUACCUACUGUCAAAGACAUAGGAGAGUUUCCAUGAUGUCACCCUACAGAAACAGUUCAAGCAGCUGCCUUUUUCCUUUUGUGUUCCUCUCUGUUGAACGUCCAUCCCUCCACCCCUCCUUGCAGAAGUUCAGUGACUCAGGAUGGAUUCUUGAGGACAAGAAUGGGAAGGUGGUCUUUUCCAUUGUUUCAACAAAUAAGACUUUGCCCAGCAUUCUUGGAACCUAAAUGUUUAAUUUUGUCAUGACUUGUAGUACCUGAUGAGAAAGGUGUGGCUUUUCAUUGCAGUAUCCAGAAAGAGUCCCUUCUCUUGGGUUCAGUGAUGAAAAUGGUUCAGAUGGGCUGUUCAGAUACGUCUAGGCCUGUCACACAGUGUAUGCUCAGGUUGUUUCCAAAUGAAGAUCAGGGGCUGGAGACAGAGAUCUCAGGUUAAGAGUGCUUGCAACUUUCAGAGGACUUUAGUUUGGUUCCCAACACACAUAUCAAGUGGCUUAGAACUACCUGUACCUCCAAUUAAAGGUACUUCAGCACUCUCCUUUAGUCUUUGCUGGCACCCGCACAUACAUGCAGAUACCUACACGUAAAUAAAAAAUCAAAAGAAGAGCAUGUGGGCCAUUUUUGGGAAUGACACAACUUGAACUAGAGGUAGUUGGCUUGGGGACAAAGCUGCACAGCAGUAGGACCUAGAACAUGGACUUGUUUGGGUCUAGAAUUUACUCGGGAACAGUCCAGUGUAUAGUGUUGAUGGAGAGAAGCUGAGGAGUUGUCUGUCCCUCCCCAUCCUUCUGGUAACCUAACCUGUACAGAGAGCUGCAAGCCUGUCAGAGCUGGCUCACACACCACUUCAGUGCCCCUGAGCACAUUAGGGACUCUUAACAGCAAGCAAAGACUAAGUAGAGUCACUCAUAAGUAGUGGACCCUGUCUGAUAACUGAGUGGCAGAGAGAAGAUAGAGAUUUCUCAAAAACAGAGCCCUGUUGAAACUUCUACUCUGUAGUGGGCUUAAAGUCGUAUGUUCACACACUUCUCAGGGUGUAACAGGUGGUUCCUGCAGCUUUGAGUGAUACUUACUGAGGCCCCUUAACUUAGAUGUAUUAAUUCCUGAGUAAGGCGCUUUAGUACAUAAGGUACCCUGGCAGGAAUAGAGAUAGAUUAUUCUUCACGGUGUGGAGACCUGGUCCUCUAACCGGACUUGUGAAAUGUAUGCACUAGAGGUGAUGGUGUUCCCCCAACCUUAUUGUGUGGAUCUAUCAGUGCAAAAGAGCCUCUUAAGAGAAGAUGCUGUCUCAGUGUGAAUUAAGUAGGCAGGCCUCAUUAUGUGAAUUUGCUUGCUUAAACUCUGUUGAAGUGUUGUAUCUAUACAGGCGAUCAGGGAUUCUUCACAGACAGAACAUACAUGAAUGCAGAAGCCAGAGGUUCCCUUUUGCCUACUAUUUCUUCCACAGCCACCAUCCACUUUUAAGCAAAAUCCAUUUCAUCUGGCUUGAAAUAUGUGAAAUAAAAUAAAAAAUACGUUCCUUGGCUU
This 2181-nucleotide long non-coding RNA is filed under the name Mus musculus (house mouse). RNAcentral describes it as "long non-coding RNA chr18:68322568-68324749". Lineage: Eukaryota; Metazoa; Chordata; Mammalia; Rodentia; Muridae. The record is from RNAcentral.